RNAcentral lists this ribosomal RNA (423 nucleotides) under uncultured bacterium. RNAcentral's name for it is "bacterial SSU rRNA". It matches the Rfam family "Bacterial small subunit ribosomal RNA", at positions 30 to 442 of the family's 1533-position model. The record is from RNAcentral.
AGUGAACGCUGGCGGCAGGCCUAACACAUGCAAGUCGAGCGGCAGCGCGUCCGACCACCCUCGGGUGGUCGGAUGGCGGCGAGCGGCGGACGGGUGAGGAAUGCAUCGGAAUCUGCCUCGUUGUGGGGGAUAACGUAGGGAAACUUACGCUAAUACCGCAUACGACCUACGGGUGAAAGUGGGGGACCUUCGGGCCUCACGCGAUGAGAUGAGCCGAUGCCGGAUUAGCUAGUUGGCGGGGUAAAGGCCCACCAAGGCGACGAUCCGUAGCUGGUCUGAGAGGAUGAUCAGCCACACUGGAACUGAGACACGGUCCAGACUCCUACGGGAGGCAGCAGUGGGGAAUAUUGGACAAUGGGGGCAACCCUGAUCCAGCCAUGCCGCGUGUGUGAAGAAGGCCUUCGGUGUAAGCACUUUGUUGGG